CCUUCAGCAGGUCUUCAGAGGAUCUUCUUCAGUGUCUCUGAGUUGUGUUGAUGAUGGACAGACAGCUGAUGGAUGGACAGUGAAGAGGACCAGAGGAGGAACAGAGGGUUCAUGGUUCCUCCUGUCUAAUGGAAGUUACUUCUGUGAGAACUCAUCUGGACAGCAGAGCGAUGAAGUGUCCAUCAGUGUUUCAGGUAGAGACAGGGAGAUGUUCCAGCUGUGUCUCUGUGCAGAUGUUUCCAGAUGUUGGAUACAUGUCUGUCAGUGAGUUGAGAGUGUGAGAUCAGUUCUAAUAUUUUGGCAGCAUGUAUUCAGACUGGUGGAUGUUGUGAGAUUUGACCUGCUUAGAUUGUCGCUGUGACAGGAGGAGGGAGAGGCAGAGAGAGGAGCGGUGACACAGCUGCUGCUUAUUUCUCCUUUAAUGGACGUCAUGUUGGAGCUGGAACAGCAGCAGAGCUCGUCAUCAGAAGGGUCAAACAGGCUGAUGAAGGUCUCUACUCUUGUGCUACUGAAGCAUUUGGACCGUCUCCUCAGAGCUUUCUGAGGGUCAGAGAUCCUCCUCAGCACAGGAGCUCAGACUCCACUCCUCCUGUGAACUCUUCUGCUGACACUGCUUCAUCACCUCCUCAGGCACUGAUGUCGACUGCCUCGUGUGAAGAGGAAGAUUAUUCCAGAGGAGCCACGAUGGAGAACGCUCCGUCUCCUCAGUUUCAGCCCUGAUUUGGGGACUGAGAGCAACGACCGCUCAGCUGACCGGAGCGAACGAAGAACACGGUGAAGAACAGUUCCUGUUCUGUCAGUGACAUACAGGAAAGACAGACGAUGUCAGAGGAAACAUGGACUGGUUUAGGAGGAAGUAGCACCAGUUUAGUGUGAUGGUUUAGUCAGAGUGGGAGCUAAAAGUGAACCUAUAGACAGAGCUCAGAGGAGUGUGAUGGUCCCCAGUUCCAGAAACGGUGGCAGAGCCGAGAUUAAUAACAACUAAGAGGAUAUUUGCACAAAUGGAAGAAAGCAGUCUUACAUAUUUGUUUAAUAUGAGCGUUGAAGGACAUGUCCUGGUCAAAAAUGACUCCAAGGUUCCUCACAGCGUUACUGGAGGCCAAGGUAAUGCCAUCCAGAGUAAGAAUCUGCUUAGAUACCAUAUUUCUAAGCUUUUCAGGGCCGAGUACAAUAACCUCAGUUUUAUCUGAAUUAAGAAGCAGAAAGUUAG
This is a long non-coding RNA of Astatotilapia calliptera (eastern happy), 1210 nucleotides long. Lineage: Eukaryota; Metazoa; Chordata; Actinopteri; Cichliformes; Cichlidae. The record is from Ensembl.